GAUGAACGCUGGCGGCGUGCCUAAUACAUGCAAGUCGAGCGAACAGACGAGGAGCUUGCUCCUCUGACGUUAGCGGCGGACGGGUGAGUAACACGUGGAUAACCUACCUAUAAGACUGGGAUAACUUCGGGAAACCGGAGCUAAUACCGGAUAACAUGUUGAACCGCACGGUUUAACAGUGAAAGACGGUCUUGCUGUCACUUAUAGAUGGAUCCGCGCCGCAUUAGCUAGUUGGUAAGGUAACGGCUUACCAAGGCAACGAUGCGUAGCCGACCUGAGAGGGUGAUCGGCCACACUGGAACUGAGACACGGUCCAGACUCCUACGGGAGGCAGCAGUAGGGAAUCUUCCGCAAUGGGCGAAAGCCUGACGGAGCAACGCCGCGUGAGUGAAGAAGGUCUUCGGAUCGUAAAACUCUGUUAUUAGGGAAGAACAAAUGUGUAAGUAACUAUGCACGUCUUGACGGUACCUAAUCAGAAAGCCACGGCUAACUACGU
RNAcentral lists this ribosomal RNA (496 nucleotides) under uncultured bacterium. RNAcentral describes it as "partial 16S ribosomal RNA". It matches the Rfam family "Bacterial small subunit ribosomal RNA", at positions 28 to 506 of the family's 1533-position model. The record is from RNAcentral.